GGACGAACGCUGGCGGCGUGCUUAACACAUGCAAGUCGAACGGAAAGGCCUCUUCGGAGGUACUCGAGUGGCGAACGGGUGAGUAACACGUGGGCAAUCUGCCCUGCACUUCGGGAUAAGCCUGGGAAACUGGGUCUAGUACCGGAUAGGACCUCAAGACGCAUGUCUUCUGGUGGAAAGCUUUUGCGGUGUGGGAUGGGCCCGCGGCCUAUCAGCUUGUUGGUGGGGUGACGGCCUACCAAGGCGACGACGGGUAGCCGGCCUGAGAGGGUGUCCGGCCACACUGGGACUGAGAUACGGCCCAGACUCCUACCGGGAGGCAGCAGAAGGG
This 331-nucleotide ribosomal RNA is filed under the name uncultured Mycobacterium sp. Its description in RNAcentral is "bacterial SSU rRNA". It matches the Rfam family "Bacterial small subunit ribosomal RNA", at positions 27 to 359 of the family's 1533-position model. The record is from RNAcentral. Lineage: Bacteria; Bacillati; Actinomycetota; Actinomycetes; Mycobacteriales; Mycobacteriaceae.